CUCGCCCCAUCAACAUGGUGCCCAAAGAAAGGGGGGGAGGGGGAAGGUCACGUGGCGGGAAAGCGGGCUGGCAGCGGCGCGCGGCAAGAGCGAGACCGCGGCGGCGCGCGCGGCAGCCGUUAGCACGUUCUUCCCGCCGCCCCUCCCCCACCCGCGAGGCCGCCAGUCCCGGGCCGCGCGCGGAGAGGGCCCUUCCCGCCCAAACGGGGGCAGCACGAGAGAGCGCGGACCGGCCGAAGAAGGAAGGCGGGGAGAAGGAAAGAGAGUGCAAUAAGAAAAGAUAUAACCGUGCCAGCGUUCAGCUCGGCGCCUUCCCGCCCCGCUCGGUCCCACGCCGGCGCUGGCCUGGCGCACUCACCGCCGCCCGCUGAGGGGUGGAGACGCAGCGCACAGCCGUUACUGGUGGCGUCGGGCGGGCACCGCCUCUUCCUCUCACGAAGAAAAAAAGCUGAAGAUAAAGAGGAAAAGAAAAAUGGAGGACAUAGCAGGUAAUAUCUGCUGUUCUUGAGAUCCAAAUUCCUAAGAAUAGCAUAUAAUUAUUCUUGACCUUUGUGUUCAUUCUUUGUUACUACGAUUUGAAAAAUACUAGUUAUCAAUAACUGUACUACUAGCUAAAUGAUUUUAUUGGGUACGUUUUAUUAAGGGGAGGAGCUGCAGGUGGAUUUCCUGCUUGCUUAUGUAGCUGUGCAAGAGGGUAAGGCAGGGAAAAUAAAUCUUGUUCUUCUCUUGACUGCAAUGCAGAUCUGGCUCUGGGAGGGGUUUUCAGAUCUGCAUGGCUCAAGCACGUGGUCAGCGUUCAGCCAAUAGUUAGCCUUACUUCUGGCAGUGGGUCUGCGUUGCUCAAAAUGGCUUAGUCUGCCUGCUAAACGUUAGAAAAUAUAACUUCUUUCUCUGAAUUGAAUUUGCACACAUUAUUCGGACAGUGAUUUAUAUGUGAAACAUAACCUUAGCUGUUUAUUUGGUAUACACAGUAGCUACCCUAACUUCUGUUUUGCCAAGGACUGGCGCUGACAGGGUUUUUUUGUUUGUUCGUAUGUUUGUUUUAAUAACAGCUACAUAGAGGAUUCUUUUCCUGCACUAACUCUCCCAGCUAUGCUUAAGGUGCUAGCACUGUGCUUGUUCAUGGCAUGCAAUGCUUCAAUCUGUUUACAUGUUGUGCUCCAUUUUGAAUUAUAUGUUCUCCAGGAAUUCAGAUAUUGGAAAAGACAUUGAAUUGUUUUUUGUUUUUUGUUUUUUUUUUACAUAGUUCUUUUCUGUUGCUGCAGAGAAACCUUUAUUUUUAAUUUGAGAUUUUUAGAUUACUGUAAUGGAAGAAUGUGUACAGUUCUCUGUUAUAUAGAUAGCAUGAAACAUAUGUAAAUAAUGUUAGGUCUUUCAAAAGCUGACAAAAUACAUUUUAAUUCCAAGGGGUAAUAGCACAUGUGCUAAGGUUUGCAUUUGGAACUCCAAGUCUUAUCUGUUUUAAAAAGAAAUUCUAAAGUCUACACAAUUAUUUAAAUGUGUUAAUAAGAGAAUGGUAAAAUAAGCAGAUUAUGCAAGAGAUUUUAAUGUAAGAUUAACUAGCUAAUACAUAAAAAAAAAUAUUCAUUUUUAAGGCUGUAACUUUAAGUGAUGUUGUGUAAGCAAAAGUCAUUCAUUUCUGUUUUAAAUGGAAUUUGAAUUAAUUUUAAUUGUUGACAUCUUGCUUCUGGAAGAAUGACGGACAACUGUUAUUUGUAGAGUGUCAUUUGACUUCCUCUGAAACCUAUCACUCCCCUUGAAUGGUACUACAAACACCAGCAUCUUUCUAACAUCAGCAACCAUGAUGCUGUUGUAGUUGUUAGCAGGUAACAAUCUAUAGUACCCAGAUGUCAGGGGACUGGGUUACAAUAUCCUGUACCAUCUUUAGUUAAACUGUAGUUUAAUUUUGUGGUGUUUAAGAGAUUUAAAGAAACCAUCUAGCAAUGUCUCCAAAGUGUACAGAAAUUCUAGGUGAAGGAUUUAGAGUUAUGAAAUCAGAUUCUUAUCUGAUGCAUGUUCCUUGGAGUUCAUAUUGACUGAGGAUGAGGCCUUCAACCUAAGCAGUCCUAGGUACCUUGUGGAUAUUAUCUGUUUUCAUAUUUUAGUGCCAUUUCAGAGAUGGUGCUCAAAACCUGUAGAUACAUAGAUCUGUUUAUUUCCCUUCUGGAAUGAAGUUGAAGAAGUAUUACCUUGGAUUCAGUGAUUUAGGACUUAGUAGUUUAUUCAGCAAAGAGAGCUGUACCAUUUCAGACACUAGCUGCGGUUGUAUCAUGACAUUUCCAAUGGUGAAAGUUUGGUGUUGUAAAUUUUGGCAUCUCUCAGUAUACAAUAUUUUAUUUAAAACUCAAGAAGUGUGCUUGUAGUAUUAUUAUGGAAAAUGUGCAGCUGGCUCUCUCUGUAGAAUGCUUCUGGUGCCGCCAUUUUGUCUAAGAAUUGAGUACUUGGUGACCUUCCCGUGCAGUCAUGUGCUAACACUCCAGUACACCUGUUGCUUUUAUUCUCUCCCUGUUUGGAAGUUGGCCAGAGGAAUAAUAAGUUGCUUCUCUUCUGUAGUCCUCUGCCUAAACAAAACCUUUGUCUUUUCUGGUUGGUUGGUUGGGUUUUUUUUAAGCUUAGCACCCUUCCAAGAGUUUAAGCAGACGUGCAAUUAUACACUACAUCCCAGUGGAAAAGUGGGACUAAUUUGUAAGGCCUGGAGCAGAAGUGAGCUGAAUUGCUUCUCUGUGAAGGGUAAAUAGGAAAAAGGCUAUUUAGUAUUAAGUCCAGUUUCACUUGGAAUGAGUAUGUCCCUACCAGGUGUUGCCAGAUACUGUCUGUUUGAUAACUGUCUCAUAAACUCAGUUUGUAACAUCAGGAAUCAUGUUUCAUUUUUGUCUACCUUACUUAAAUUAUAUUAGUAUGCCAGAACAGCAUAUAUUAGGAAGCACUGUAUGAACACCACCGGUGCAGAUGUCUCCUUAGACCUUGUUCAGACCUUUCUGAGACUAUACUGUUGUUCUUCCAAGAGCUCUGUGAAUAUUGCUGCUUCUGCUGAGGUUCUGCAUAGGUCACAAUUGAGGUAGGAUGGUGAGGAAAGAGGAAGGCGUCCAGGCGAGUUUUGGAUAUCUCCAGAGAAGGAGAUCCACUGUCUCUCUGGGCAGCCUGUUCCAGUGCUCUGUAACUCUCAAAGUCAAGAAGUUUUUCCUUAUGUUCCUAUGGAACUUUGUAUGUUCCAGUUUGUGUCCUUUGCCCUUUGUUCUGUCGCUGGGUGCUGCUGAGAAGAGCCUGGUCCCAUCCACUUGGCUCCCACCCUUUUGAUAUUUAUAAGCAUUGAUGAUCACCUCUCAGUUUUCUCCAGGUUGAAUAGUCCCUGA
This 3353-nucleotide long non-coding RNA is filed under the name Gallus gallus (chicken). The record is from RNAcentral. Lineage: Eukaryota; Metazoa; Chordata; Aves; Galliformes; Phasianidae.